GAUGAACGCUGGCGGCGUGCCUAAUACAUGCAAGUCGAGCGAACAGACGAGGAGCUUGCUCCUCUGACGUUAGCGGCGGACGGGUGAGUAACACGUGGAUAACCUACCUAUAAGACUGGGAUAACUUCGGGAAACCGGAGCUAAUACCGGAUAAUAUAUUGAACCGCAUGGUUCAAUAGUGAAAGACGGUUUUGCUGUCACUUAUAGAUGGAUCCGUGCCGCAUUAGCUAGUUGGUAAGGUAACGGCUUACCAAGGCAACGAUGCGUAGCCGACCUGAGAGGGUGAUCGGCCACACUGGAACUGAGACACGGUCCAGACUCCUACGGGAGGCAGCAGUAGGGAAUCUUCCGCAAUGGGCGAAAGCUUGACGGAGCAACGCCGCGUGAGUGAUGAAGGUCUUCGGAUCGUAAAACUCUGUUAUUAGGGAAGAACAAAUGUGUAAGUAACUAUGCACGUCUUGACGGUACCUAAUCAGAAAGCCACGGCUAACUAUGUG
This 497-nucleotide ribosomal RNA is filed under the name uncultured bacterium. RNAcentral's name for it is "partial 16S ribosomal RNA". It matches the Rfam family "Bacterial small subunit ribosomal RNA", at positions 28 to 507 of the family's 1533-position model. The record is from RNAcentral.